RNAcentral lists this unclassified non-coding RNA (2392 nucleotides) under Limulus polyphemus (Atlantic horseshoe crab). RNAcentral's name for it is "glycosylated lysosomal membrane protein A-like, transcript variant X1". Lineage: Eukaryota; Metazoa; Arthropoda; Merostomata; Xiphosura; Limulidae. The record is from RNAcentral.
ACAACCAGUAUUAACAAUAAAUUAAUAACGUAAUCACUGACGUAAAUACAAAGCAAUGCACGUGAUUGUUUAAUUGUUUAUCUUGUUUGUAAAUCUCGAGAUAAGUACACAGGAAUUGUAUUGUGCGGCGUAUUAACAGUAACAAGAUAUAAACCCAUGUGAGAUAGGAAGAAAACUAUUUGUAUAUGUUAUAUACAAUCAGACAGCUUAACCGAAGAAUAACUAAUUAUUGUACUUCUUCUUUGGUAAAAUUUACUCAAGUUAAGUUAUUUGGCUGUGCUCAAAUUUCAAAUUAAAUUCAACACUUUUAGGUCAGGUGUUGCGUCUUUAGAAUGCGGUCUGUUGUACUUUUACUUUUAUUGACAUUGAUUUCUCAAAAGAGUCAAAGUGCGGUAGGACUAAGACAAGUAGGAGAUAAAGCUGGUUUUAGUAGAGAGCUGAAUAUGAUACUAAAUCCUGAUUGUGAUUUGCCAGAAUGCAAGGGAGAAGGUAGCCAUUUCAUUAACCUAGUCCAUGUUUCAGCAAAAGGUGACUCAGAUGUAAUACAUUAUCUUUGGAGCACUUUUGGGACCCCAUCUGUGUUAAUUGUGCAGACAUCUCUUAAAGCUUCCUUACAAAUAAACUGGGAGAGCCUGCUAAAUGAAUCCGUAGCUGAAGGAAUUAUUCAGUUCUCAGAAAAACCAUACUAUUCCUUUGGUCUCAUCCUAGCACAACUGUGGCAGUUCAAUGAUACAAAGGACACCGGAAAACUUGACAUAAGUACAAAUGAAUCCUUUCCAAUAUCCUUUAUGGAAAUGAGUUGGCAGAACAUCAAUGAGACUAUGACUUGCAGUAGUGAUCAGUGUUCAGUGUCAUUUGAGACAUCUUCUGUUGAUACAGAUUACUUCUUGCCCAAUGGUUCUUUUUCAUUUCAGAUGACUGCCCAUUCAAAGGAUGGAAGAAAUAAUAUUUUACCUCAUUUGGAGCACACAGCCAGUAGUUCUCAACUUAAUAUAGUGUUGAAUGAAAUGAAAUCACAUUUUACUGGCAGUCGCUUUGCUUUAGAGUUUCUAUUUUUCUCUUCUGACGUUUCACAUGAAAAUAUUGAUCCUAUAGCAAUAGAGAGCAGAAAGUCUGUUGAUGAUGAGUACACACCUGGUGUUUUCAAAAGAUAUGUCUUGACAACUCCAUCUAGCCGUUCUAAUGGUUCUGGAGGUUAUUUACAUUGGAAGCCUGUUUGCUACACUAAUUACAAAAGAACAAUAGCUCAUUCAUCUGAUUCUAGUACCUAUGGGAUACAGUACACCAAUACCUCACAACCCUUUAGUAUUGUAAAAGCAUUUUUUGGACCUUCUGAUAACAAUUCUAUGUCAGCAUUUAAUGUUUCUUUUGGCUCUGCUGGAGAUGGAUUUUACUUAAAAACUAACUACACUUCAUGGUCAGUGGCAAUUGGAUAUGGCAGAGCCCCUCCUGAAAGACUGUCACUAAUGGUAAUCCUAAUAAUAUCCAUUGGAGUAGGAGCUCCACUGUUACUUAUGGCUAUAGGAGGACUAUACUUCAUUAUUCAAAAGCUUGCACGUAAAAAAUAUGACUUGCUUUUAAGCAGUUCAUUAACCUGAGUUUGAAGAAGCAGAAAUGAAGUAGAAUUAUUGAAAUAAUCAUGUUGAAAAAUAAAGAAAAGACAGAGAAAUUGUAAACUUCAGUUAAGGAGCAGUUUUGAAAUAAAGGAAUCAGAAUUAGACCCUGGAAAUCAAUCGCUAGAAGAUAACAUAAUUUGUAGUUUAAAUUUUUUAAACAAUACAAAAUAGAACUUGAAAUUGUCAAAGAAGAUUAAAGGAAAUAAAGGCAUACAAACUUGGCAUCAAUAUUUAUUAUUUAUAGCAUCAGAAUAGCUCAGUUUAAGAAUAAACUUUACAAAAGAUAAUUAUAACUUGUUUGAAUAGAAUGAAAUCGCAUUUAAUUCUGUUCAAAGAGGUGAAUUUGAUAUGGCAUGUUCAACAUUGCUAGUUAUGCUUAAGACAAAAUAAUAAGAAUUUUAACUGAAUAUUUCAUUUUACAUUACAUCAAUAUAUGCUGAUGUACUUGUUGUAAGCUGUAUAUUUUUAAUGUAAUUUGUUUGUUAGCUAGUUAGAUCUGGAUUUUAAUGAUAGCAUUAAGAUUGGAAGGUUUAGUAAGCUUAAAAAUUCUAGAAACUUAAGGCUGUGACUUGAGGUUUCUAGCAUAUUUAGAAAUACAUUACAAAUACAAAAUUAUUUUGAAGAAAGAUUGAUUUUCAAGAUAGAGAGUAAAUCAGUUAAGGUGUGAGCUGUCACAUCUAACUUGAACAAGUGGAUUUUAGUUGAAGUAAUUUGUAAUGUACGCCUACAACCAAUUUAUAGUUACAGAAGGAAAUAAACUCAUUUGUUAUACUUUA